RNAcentral lists this ribosomal RNA (476 nucleotides) under uncultured bacterium. RNAcentral describes it as "partial 16S ribosomal RNA". It matches the Rfam family "Bacterial small subunit ribosomal RNA", at positions 30 to 507 of the family's 1533-position model. The record is from RNAcentral.
UGAAUGCUGGCGGCGUGCCUAACACAUGCAAGUCGAACGGAGUCCAGCCUUUAAGACCUUCGGGUCAAAGAGGGGAAGACUGAGUGGCGGACGGGUGAGUAACACGUGGGCAACCUGGCUCAUAGAGGGGGAUAACAGAGAGAAAUUUCUGCUAAUACCGCAUAAGCACACACUGCCGCAUGGCAGAGGGUGAAAAGAGAAUCGCUAUGAGAUGGACCCGCGUCUGAUUAGCCAGUUGGCAGGGUAAGAGCCUACCAAAGCGACGAUCAGUAGCCGAUCUGAGAGGAUGAACGGCCACAUUGGGACUGAGACACGGCCCAAACUCCUACGGGAGGCAGCAGUGGGGGAUAUUGCACAAUGGGGGGAACCCUGAUGCAGCGACGCCGCGUGAGUGAAGAAGUAUUUCGGUAUGUAAAGCUCUAUCAGCAGGGAAGAUAAUGACAGUACCUGAAUAAGAAGCCCCGGCUAACUACGUG